Molecule: long non-coding RNA, 1109 nt
Filed under: Homo sapiens (human)
Lineage: Eukaryota; Metazoa; Chordata; Mammalia; Primates; Hominidae
Description: HSALNT0381224
Source: RNAcentral
ACAGCCUCAAGCCGCGUGGAUUCCUUCCAGACGGCCGGAGCCCCUCCCCCGCCUUUCCUACCCGGCCCCGGCGCCGGGCUUCCCCCCGCCUUAGGAAGCUCGCCCUUCCAGCCAGCGGCCCCGACUGUACUGGCUCCGCGGCAGCCUUGGCUCAGGCGGCCAGCGCUGGACAGCGGCCGGGGAAUCCCGUGCUGCGCGGCGCGGCCGAGGGGCGGGCCUGGCCCGGAGAGUACCGCGGCUUCGGCCCUCUGCCGUGCGCCUCGCGCGUUUUGCAUCGCUGAGCGAAGCAGAGACGUAAGGAAAUGGUAGCAGAGCGCGGGGCGAGGGCAGAGGGGAGUCAUUUCCCCCAGAGUUUGGGCUGGUUGGGUCCUCGGCACCUCCGGACGUGCGCCAGGCUUCCACCCUGAAGACGCGCCCGUCCUGGGAACAUGACCUCGGAAGCAGUCGCAGCCGCCGCCGGACGAGGGGCGUGGAGAGGCGGUGCCCCGGCAGCCCAGGGAUGGCGCAGGCCCUGGGGCCCCAGGAAGACGGCGCCGUUGGCGUCUUGAGUCUUGCUGCCGCCUCUGGCUGCCUAGCCCUCUUGCUUUCGCUCUUCUUGUUUGCUCUGGCCCCCAUUUUUCCGAGAGUGUACGCCAGGCCCGGGCCCUGCUCCUGGACUGAUUUACCUGGGGCGGCACCGCCCGCAGCCAUGACUCCCGGGCUCUGAGUUUAGCGGCGCCCUAAGCGCCGGAACCGCAUCUCGGCGCCGGUGACAGUUAUUGCGCCCGGGGCCGCUCCCCAAGCUGUGGGCAAGACACCGCGCCCGAUUUCCUUUCAGCACCGAGUGUCAGACGUUGUAGUGUUUAUUCGACCGGAGGCAGGGAGGGCGCUACUAUCCUAUCACAGGUUUGGGAUAACCCAACAGAAACGCAGUGGGAACCCCUUGGCUAGGAGUCGAACAAGGAUCCCGGGUCGUGGUAGUAUAGUUUACAGUGGGGGAUAAAGCAGUAACUUUCUAGAUAGUUGUUAAUAAUUUUUUCUGAGCUGCAAGUAUCUCCUUAUUUCUCACAAAAAUCUGCGAGCUGAAUUGAAUGGUUUUGAAUUUUCAAAAUUAAAAAAGCUGUGGGGCA